Molecule: ribosomal RNA, 1760 nt
Filed under: Escherichia coli
Lineage: Bacteria; Pseudomonadati; Pseudomonadota; Gammaproteobacteria; Enterobacterales; Enterobacteriaceae
Description: bacterial LSU rRNA
Rfam family: Bacterial large subunit ribosomal RNA
Source: RNAcentral
GUGUGACUGCGUACCUUUUGUAUAAUGGGUCAGCGACUUAUAUUCUGUAGCAAGGUUAACCGAAUAGGGGAGCCGAAGGGAAACCGAGUCUUAACUGGGCGUUAAGUUGCAGGGUAUAGACCCGAAACCCGGUGAUCUAGCCAUGGGCAGGUUGAAGGUUGGGUAACACUAACUGGAGGACCGAACCGACUAAUGUUGAAAAAUUAGCGGAUGACUUGUGGCUGGGGGUGAAAGGCCAAUCAAACCGGCUGCGAAUACCGGAGAAUGUUAUCACGGGAGACACACGGCGGGUGCUAACGUCCGUCGUGAAGAGGGAAACAACCCAGACCGCCAGCUAAGGUCCCAAAGUCAUGGUUAAGUGGGAAACGAUGUGGGAAGGCCCAGACAGCCAGGAUGUUGGCUUAGAAGCAGCCAUCAUUUAAAGAAAGCGUAAUAGCUCACUGGUCGAGUCGGCCUGCGCGGAAGAUGUAACGGGGCUAAACCAUGCACCGAAGCUGCGGCAGCGACGCUUAUGCGUUGUUGGGUAGGGGAGCGUUCUGUAAGCCUGCGAAGGUGUAGAAGGCUAUGUUGGCCGGGCGACGGUUGUCCCGGUUUAAGCGUGUAGGCUGGUUUUCCAGGCAAAUCCGGAAAAUCAAGGCUGAGGCGUGAUGACGAGGCACUACGGUGCUGAAGCAACAAAUGCCCUGCUUCCAGGAAAAGCCUCUAAGCAUCAGGUAACAUCAAAUCGUACCCCAAACCGACACAGGUGGUCAGGUAGAGAAUACCAAGGCGCUUGAGAGAACUCGGGUGAAGGAACUAGGCAAAAUGGUGCCGUAACUUCGGGAGAAGGCACGCUGAUAUGUAGGUGAAGCGACUUGCUCGUGGAGCUGAAAUCAGUCGAAGAUACCAGCUGGCUGCAACUGUUUAUUAAAAACACAGCACUGUGCAAACACGAAAGUGGACGUAUACGGUGUGACGCCUGCCCGGUGCCGGAAGGUUAAUUGAUGGGGUUAGCGCAAGCGAAGCUCUUGAUCGAAGCCCCGGUAAACGGCGGCCGUAACUAUAACGGUCCUAAGGUAGCGAAAUUCCUUGUCGGGUAAGUUCCGACCUGCACGAAUGGCGUAAUGAUGGCCAGGCUGUCUCCACCCGAGACUCAGUGAAAUUGAACUCGCUGUGAAGAUGCAGUGUACCCGCGGCAAGACGGAAAGACCCCGUGAACCUUUACUAUAGCUUGACACUGAACAUUGAGCCUUGAUGUGUAGGAUAGGUGGGAGGCUUUGAAGUGUGGACGCCAGUCUGCAUGGAGCCGACCUUGAAAUACCACCCUUUAAUGUUUGAUGUUCUAACGUUGACCCGUGAUCCGGGUUGCGGACAGUGUCUGGUGGGUAGUUUGACUGGGGCGGUCUCCUCCUAAAGAGUAACGGAGGAGCACGAAGGUUGGCUAAUCCUGGUCGGACAUCAGGAGGUUAGUGCAAUGGCAUAAGCCAGCUUGACUGCGAGCGUGACGGCGCGAGCAGGUGCGAAAGCAGGUCAUAGUGAUCCGGUGGUUCUGAAUGGAAGGGCCAUCGCUCAACGGAUAAAAGGUACUCCGGGGAUAACAGGCUGAUACCGCCCAAGAGUUCAUAUCGACGGCGGUGUUUGGCACCUCGAUGUCGGCUCAUCACAUCCUGGGGCUGAAGUAGGUCCCAAGGGUAUGGCUGUUCGCCAUUUAAAGUGGUACGCGAGCUGGGUUUAGAACGUCGUGAGACAGUUCGGUCCCUAUCUGCCGUGGGCGCUGGAGA